GGCUCAGAACGAACGCUGGCGUCACGCCUAACACAUGCAAGUCGAGCGCCCAGCAAUGGGAGCGGCGGACGGGUGAGGAACACGUGGGAACAUGCCUUUUGGUUCGGCACAACUGAGGGAAACUUCAGCUAAUUCCGGAUACGCCCUUACGGGGAAAGAUUUAUCGCCGAAAGAUUGGCCCGCGUCUGAUUAGCUAGUUGGUGGGGUAACGGCCCACCAAGGCUUCGAUCAGUAGCUGGUUUGAGAGAACGACCAGCCACACUGGGACUGAGACACGGCCCAGACUCCUACGGGAGGCAGCAGUGGG
Molecule: ribosomal RNA, 307 nt
Filed under: uncultured Alphaproteobacteria bacterium
Lineage: Bacteria; Pseudomonadati; Pseudomonadota; Alphaproteobacteria
Description: bacterial SSU rRNA
Rfam family: Bacterial small subunit ribosomal RNA
Source: RNAcentral